Non-coding RNA from Oryctolagus cuniculus (rabbit), 2038 nucleotides. Lineage: Eukaryota; Metazoa; Chordata; Mammalia; Lagomorpha; Leporidae. The record is from RefSeq and is a predicted model, not a curated record.
UAGUUCACAAUAAAAAAUAAAAAUCUAAGAGACAUUUGUACCGUCCUGUACUUGGAGAUACUUAGCACAAUUCUAAGGUAUCCAAGAGCUCCUCUUAGGUCAAAUUAGAACAAAAAUACUUUUCACAAGAACAAAGAAUGAAGCUCUCUACAAUAUCAAUACAUUUUUAAUAGGAGUAGUACUUAAGAAAGAAAUGUGGAUGGGGGAAUGUCGCAGCAGGAGACAGGUUGACAGAGUAAGUAACAUGUGAUCAGGUUAGGAGCUAACAAUAGAGACUCUCAGUCACUAAACUCAUCUAUUCUUGUGAUGCCUCAUGAAGAGUAUGGAAACCUAGGCCAGACCUCUGCAACAAGUCAAAGUGAUGAUGAUAGCCAAGAAACUCGUCAUCAGAACAAACCACCGGGCCCAGGAGGCCAACAUAACCAGACCCGCCCACCUUUCCCUGGAAACCAAGGUGGCCCACCACAGGGGGGCCAGCAGAAUUCUACUCGCCCACCUCACCCUGGAAACCAGCAGCGACCACCUCAACACGGAGGCCAACAGAACAACACUAGCCAAGGAAACCAACAGGGAGGUCCACAGGGAGGACAACAACAGGGAAGAUCCCAACAGGGAGGAUCUCAGCAGGGAGGAACACAACAGGGAGGAUCCCAACAGGGAGGCCCACAGAGAGGACCCCAGCAGGGAGGCACACAGGGAGGACGACAACAGGGAGGACGACAACAGGGAGGACCCCAACAGGGAGGCCCACAGGGAGGACCCCAGCAGGGAGGCCCACAGGGAGGACCCCAGCAGGGAGGACCACAGGGAGGACCUCAACAGGGAGGCCCACAGGGUGGACCCCAACAGAGAGGGCCACAGGAAGGACCCCAGCAGAGAGGACCACAGGGAGGACCCCAGCAGGGAGGCCCACAGGGAGGACCCCAGCAGGGAGGCCCGCAGCAGGGUCCACAAUCACGUUUUCAAGGAAACAGACCACAAGGCCCUCCCCAAGGACAACCACCACAAUAAUCCACAGUCAAUCACAGAGUAUGAGAACCUAGACGAGAGCCUAGCUGCAACACAGAACGAUGAUGACAGCCAAGAAGAUCGUCCACAGCACAGACCACCACGUCCAGGAGGCCACCACAACCAAACUCGCCCACCUCCUCAUGGAAACCACCACCGACCACCACCUCCACAGAAGGGCACACCACCUCCACCGAAGGGCACUAAACCCCCUCGUCCACAAAAGGAAGAAGAGUAUGAGAACCUAGACGGGAGCCUAGCUGCAACACAGAACGAUGAUGACAGCCAAGAAGAUCGUCCACAGCACAGACCACCACGUCCAGGAGGCCACCACAACCACCAUCGCCCACCUCCUCAUGGAAACCACCAGCGACCACCACCUCCACAGAAUGGCACUAGACCUCCUCCUCCAGAAAAUGAACAAGAGUAUGAGAACCUAUACGAGAGCCUAGUUGCAACACAGAAUGAUGAUGACAGCCAAGAAGAUCGUCCACAGCACAGACCACCACGUCCAGGAGGCCACCACAACCACCAUCGCCCACCUCCUCAUGGAAACCACCAGCGACCACCACCUCCACAGAAUGGCACUAGACCUCCUCCUCCAGAAGAUGAACAAAGUUAGGCGAAAGAGAUAUUCAGGAGGGGAAUUGCCCAGGAAUCUCUGGAUAGCAAAAAGAACUAUACAGGGGAGCCAGCUCCAAUAAAGAAUCAAAAGUGUUUACCCUAAAAAGAGGCAAAAAGGAUUAUCCAAAAAUAGAGGCCCACAGAAAGUGAAUAAGAAGAUAAUGUCCUUUAAGAUCCAUGACUCUGGAACCAUGAUGUGACAACCCUAUGUUUCAAGUACCAAUAAAAUAAUCAGCAUGCAAUUUCUCAUGGCCCUCGUCUCUGAUUUUGGUUAUCUGUGAAUCUCUCACUUACAGGACAUGAACACAAUGGGACAGCAUUCAGGACCCCUUCCCACUGAUGUUUCCAGCAAAGUUAGUUUCUCCUUUAUGGAAUCAAAUCAACUCUCAAAUGAAAUAAUUCUCUU